This 425-nucleotide ribosomal RNA is filed under the name Chelonoidis niger. Its description in RNAcentral is "partial 12S small subunit ribosomal RNA". It matches the Rfam family "Bacterial small subunit ribosomal RNA", at positions 776 to 1394 of the family's 1533-position model. The record is from RNAcentral. Lineage: Eukaryota; Metazoa; Chordata; Testudines; Testudinidae.
GAUUAGAUACCCCACUAUGCUUAGCCCUAAACCCAGAUAUUUAACACACAAAAAUAUCCGCCAGAGAACUACGAGCAUAACGCUUAAAACUCUAAGGACUUGGCGGUGCCUUAAACCCCCCUAGAGGAGCCUGUUCUAUAAUCGAUAAUCCACGAUCCACCUCACCAUCUCUUGCCAGUACCGCCUAUAUACCGCCGUCACUAGCCUACCCUAUGAAGGAUAUAAAAGUAAGCAAAACAGCCAACAAUAGCUAAUAAGUCAGGUCAAGGUGUAGCUAACUGAGAUGGAAGAAAUGGGCUACAUUUUCUAAACUAGAAAUUAUCUCACGGAAAGAACCAUGAAACAAGCUCUACAAGCAGGAUUUAGCAGUAAACAAGGAUUAGAAUGCCCAAUUUAAGCCGGUCCUAAGGCACGCACACACCGCC